AUUGAACGCUGGCGGCAGGCCUAACACAUGCAAGUCGAACGGUAACAGGAAGAAGCUUGCUUCUUUGCUGACGAGUGGCGGACGGGUGAGUAAUGUCUGGGAAACUGCCUGAUGGAGGGGGAUAACUACUGGAAACGGUAGCUAAUACCGCAUAACGUCGCAAGACCAAAGAGGGGGACCUUCGGGCCUCUUGCCAUCGGAUGUGCCCAGAUGGGAUUAGCUAGUAGGUGGGGUAACGGCUCACCUAGGCGACGAUCCCUAGCUGGUCUGAGAGGAUGACCCGCCACCCUGGAACUGAGACACGGUCCAGACUCCUACGGGAGGCAGCAGUGGGGAAUAUUGCACAAUGGGCGCAAGCCUGAUGCAGCCAUGCCGCGUGUAUGAAGAAGGCCUUCGGGUUGUAAAGUACUUUCAGCGGGGAGGAAGGGAGUAAAGUUAAUACCUUUGCUCAUUGACGUUACCCGCAGAAGAAGCACCGGCUAACUCCGUG
Molecule: ribosomal RNA, 490 nt
Filed under: uncultured bacterium
Lineage: Bacteria
Description: partial 16S ribosomal RNA
Rfam family: Bacterial small subunit ribosomal RNA
Source: RNAcentral